GCGAAGGCAGCUUGCUGGACUGUAACUGACGNUGAGGCACGAAAGCGUGGGGAUCAAACAGGAUUAGAUACCNUGNUANNNCACGCCNUAAACGAUGAAUGCUAGCUGUUAGCGAUAUACUGUUAGCGGCACAGAGAAAUCGUUAAGCAUUCCACCUGGGGAGUACGCCGGCAACGGUGAAACUCAAAGGAAUUGACGGGGGCCCGCACAAGCGGAGGAACAUGUGGUUUAAUUCGAUGAUACGCGAGGAACCUUACCUGGGCUUAAAUUGCAGUGGAAUAACGUGGAAACAUGUUAGCCUUCGGGCCGCUGUGAAGGUGCUGCAUGGUUGUCGUCAGCUCGUGCCGUGAGGUGUCGGCUUAAGUGCCAUAACGAGCGCAACCCUCAUCGAUAGUUACUAACAGGUUAAGCUGAGGACUCUAUCGAGACUGCCGACGUAAGUCGUGAGGAAGGUGGGGAUGACGUCAAAUCAGCACGGCCCUUACGUCCAGGGCUACACACGUGUUACAAUGGGGGGUACAAAGGGCAGCUACCUGGCGACAGGAUGCUAAUCUCAAAAACCUCUCUCAGUUCGGAUUGGAGUCUGCAACCCGACUCCAUGAAGCUGGAUUCGCUAGUAAUCGCGCAUCAGCCACGGCGCGGUGAAUACGUUCCCGGGCCUUGUACACACCGCCCGUCAAGCCAUGGGAGCCGGGGGGACCUGAAGUAUGCAACCGUAAGGAGCGUCCUAGGGUAAAACUGGUGACUGGGGCU
RNAcentral lists this ribosomal RNA (753 nucleotides) under uncultured prokaryote. RNAcentral's name for it is "bacterial SSU rRNA". It matches the Rfam family "Bacterial small subunit ribosomal RNA", at positions 715 to 1482 of the family's 1533-position model. The record is from RNAcentral.